CUAGGAUUUGAUUAAGAUUUGUUUAGGAUUUGACUAAAAUAUAUUUAAGAUUGAUUAGAGUUUGGUUAGGAUUUCACUAAGGUUUGGUUAGGAUUUGGUUAGAAUUUGAUUAGGAUUUGGUUAGGAUUUGGUUAGGAUUUGAUUAAGUUUUUUUUAGGAUUUGAUUAGAAUUUGGUCAUGAUUUGUUUAAGAAUUGACUAGGAUUUAAUGAAAGUUUAUUUAGGAUUUGAUUAGAGUUUGAUUAGGAUUUAUUAGGGUUUGACUAAGAUUUGGUUAGAAUUUGUUUAGGAUUUGUUUAGGAUUUAUUUAAGAUUGAUUAAGAUUUGAUUAGGAUUUGAUUAGGAAUUGAUUAGGAUUUGAUUGAGGUUUGAUUAGAAUUUGAUUAGAAUUUGGUUAGGAUUUGACUAAGUUUUAUUUAGAAUUUAGAUAGGAUUUGAUUAGGAUUUAUUUAAGAUUUCUAUUUUAAUAUUUUAUUAAUAUUUCUAUUUUAGUAUUUUAUUAAUAUUUCUAUUUUAAUUUUAUUUUUAAAUUCCUAUGUUAUUUCUUUAUGAUUUCUUUAAAAGAUCUUUAUGAAUACUUUGUGUUUCUUAUAUAAUUCCUUUGUAAUUUUGAAUGAAUUUGAUUGAUAUUUGAAUUAUAUUUGUUAAUCUUUAAUUGUAAUUUUUUUAAGAAUCUAUUAGAAUUUAUAGGACUUGUUGUUGCAAUUUUUCUUUUAAUUUCCACAGCUAGGUGUCCAGUGCAUUCUCAAGCCAAAUGCCACAUAAUACAACACCGUAUCAUAUAGUGCAAGGUUUUUUUAAUGAUUCAGUUCAAUUUGAAGAUUUUAUAGAUACCCAAUUUAUCACAUAUAUUAACAAAAAUCAAUGACAACUUUAUUAUAAGUAAACCUGGGACGGGUUUUAAAAAUUGGAAGAAAGAGGACUUACUUAUUAAUGAUAGAUUGCCUAUACUCAUACGUAUAUGAUGGAUACUAAAGAUGAUCAAUGGUUGGU
Molecule: long non-coding RNA, 992 nt
Filed under: Physcomitrium patens
Lineage: Eukaryota; Viridiplantae; Streptophyta; Bryopsida; Funariales; Funariaceae
Description: long non-coding RNA (PPAT_LNC011375)
Source: RNAcentral